Molecule: ribosomal RNA, 224 nt
Filed under: Pneumocystis sp. S16
Lineage: Eukaryota; Fungi; Ascomycota; Pneumocystomycetes; Pneumocystales; Pneumocystaceae
Description: partial large subunit ribosomal RNA
Rfam family: Bacterial large subunit ribosomal RNA
Source: RNAcentral
GUGAAAUACAAAUCGGACUAGGAAAUAGCUGGUUUUCUGCGAAUCUAUUUUAGUAGAUGAUUUAUUUAUUUUUAUUAGUAGGUAUAGCACUGAAUAUCUAAUAUCAAUAGAAAGGAGUAUGAAAGUACUUACUUUGGAUAUUUAAUCUCAGAAUAACUAAUAAGUUGUAAUAAGUUAUCAGACUUCUUGCGAUAAGGUGAGGAUCCAGGAAGAAUUCCCAAACC